This 1346-nucleotide ribosomal RNA is filed under the name uncultured bacterium. Its description in RNAcentral is "partial 16S ribosomal RNA". It matches the Rfam family "Bacterial small subunit ribosomal RNA", at positions 28 to 1381 of the family's 1533-position model. The record is from RNAcentral.
GACGAACGCUGGCGGCGUGCUUAACACAUGCAAGUCGAACGGAAAGGCCCUGCUUUUGUGGGGUGCUCGAGUGGCGAACGGGUGAGUAACACGUGAGUAACCUGCCCUUGACUUUGGGAUAACUUCAGGAAACUGGGGCUAAUACCGGAUAGGAGCUCCUGCUGCAUGGUGGGGGUUGGAAAGUUUCGGCGGUUGGGGAUGGACUCGCGGCUUAUCAGCUUGUUGGUGGGGUAGUGGCUUACCAAGGCUUUGACGGGUAGCCGGCCUGAGAGGGUGACCGGCCACAUUGGGACUGAGAUACGGCCCAGACUCCUACGGGAGGCAGCAGUGGGGAAUAUUGCACAAUGGGCGGAAGCCUGAUGCAGCAACGCCGCGUGCGGGAUGACGGCCUUCGGGUUGUAAACCGCUUUCGCCUGUGACGAAGCGUGAGUGACGGUAAUGGGUAAAGAAGCACCGGCUAACUACGUGCCAGCAGCCGCGGUGAUACGUAGGGUGCGAGCGUUGUCCGGAUUUAUUGGGCGUAAAGGGCUCGUAGGUGGUUGAUCGCGUCGGAAGUGUAAUCUUGGGGCUUAACCCUGAGCGUGCUUUCGAUACGGGUUGACUUGAGGAAGGUAGGGGAGAAUGGAAUUCCUGGUGGAGCGGUGGAAUGCGCAGAUAUCAGGAGGAACACCAGUGGCGAAGGCGGUUCUCUGGGCCUUUCCUGACGCUGAGGAGCGAAAGCGUGGGGAGCGAACAGGCUUAGAUACCCUGGUAGUCCACGCUGUAAACGGUGGGUACUAGGUGUGGGAUCCAUUCCACGGGUUCCGUGCCGUAGCUAACGCUUUAAGUACCCCGCCUGGGGAGUACGGCCGCAAGGCUAAAACUCAAAGGAAUUGACGGGGCCCCGCACAAGCGGCGGAGCAUGCGGAUUAAUUCGAUGCAACGCGUAGAACCUUACCUGGGUUUGACAUGGAUCGGGAGUGCUCAGAGAUGGGUGUGCCUCUUUUGGGGUCGGUUCACAGGUGGUGCAUGGCUGUCGUCAGCUCGUGUCGUGAGAUGUUGGGUUAAGUCCCGCAACGAGCGCAACCCUUGUUCACUGUUGCCAGCACGUUAUGGUGGGGACUCAGUGGAGACCGCCGGGGUCAACUCGGAGGAAGGUGGGGAUGACGUCAAGUCAUCAUGCCCCUUAUGUCCAGGGCUUCACGCAUGCUACAAUGGCUGGUACAGAGAGUGGCGAGCCUGUGAGGGUGAGCGAAUCUCGGAAAGCCGGUCUCAGUUCGGAUCGGGGUCUGCAACUCGACCUCAUGAAGUCGGAGUCGCUAGUAAUCGCAGAUCAGCAACGCUGCGGUGAAUACGUUCCCGGGGCU